GAAAAUUAUAUUCUUACUAAAAUUUUAUCAAGUUUUAUUAUAGAAAUAUCUUUUUACUUAGUAUAUUAAAGAAAUUUAUUAAUAUUGUGAUAGUGAAUUAGUACCGUGAGGGAAGGUGAUGAAAAAAUUGAAAUUUAAUUUUCAUGAAAGUAUAUUUUAUUUAUAGUACCUUUUGUAUCAGGGUUAAUCAAAUAUAUAUAAAUUAUUUUAAUAUCUCGAUUUCAAAAGAGCUAAUUAAUUAUUUUAUUUGAUGUUUCAUAAUCAUUAAAAAUAUAAAUUAGGGGAGAUAUUCUAUUCGUUUUUGAAGGUAUCUAGUUUUUUAAGAAAUAAAUUUAAUUUAAUUUUAUACUUUAAUUCAUUAAUUUUUGAAUGAAUUAUUUGUAUAAAUGAAAUAAUUUAGGGGAUAAGCUCUAAAUUAAUAUCUAAAAUUUAAAUAUAAUUUUAAUUUAUGUAGGGUUGAAAACAUCUAUCAUUAAAAAGUACGUUAUAGUUUAAGUUAAAAUUAAUUGAUUUAUUUUUAUUUAGAAUAUUAUUAAAAUUUGAAAUUUAAUUAUAAAUUUUUAGUAAUAAUGAUUAAAUUAGUAUAAUUAUUUGUUUAAAAUUUAUUAAAGGGGAUGAUUAAAUAAGGAACUCGGCAAAAUAAGUGCUCGCCUGUUUAACAAAAACAUGUCUUCUUGAUAAAAUAGGAAGUCUGACCUGCCCAGUGAAAAUAUUUUAACGGCCGCGGUAUAUUGACCGUGCAAAGGUAGCAUAAUCAUUAGUCUUUUAAUAGAGGGCUGGAAUGAAGGGUUUAACGAAGUACUUACUGUCUCAUUUAAUUUGAUAUUAAAAUUUACUUUUUCAGUCAAAAAGCUGAAAUACUAUUGGAAGACGAGAAGACCCUAUAGAGCUUUAUAUUUAGUUAUUUAAUAAAUUUUUGAUAUAAUUAUUAUUUAUUAUUUAAUAAAAUAUUUUGUUGGGGUGACAAAAAUAUAUAAUUAACUUUUUUAUUUAUAUAACAUUGAUAUAUGAAAAACAGAUCCAGUUUUACUGAUUGUUAGAAUAAGUUACCUUAGGGAUAACAGCGUAAUCUUCCUUCAGAGUUCAUAUUCACAGGGAGGCUUGCGACCUCGAUGUUGGAUUAAGAUUAUAAUUAGGUGUAGCCGCUUAAAAAAUAGGUCUGUUCGACCUUUAAAUUCUUACAUGAUCUGAGUUCAAACCGGUUUAAGCCAGGUUGGUUUCUAUCUCCAAUUUUUAAUUAAUUUUUAGUACGAAAGGACCAAUAUUAAAAAAGAACUUUUUUAAAAAUGAAUAAUAUUA
This 1299-nucleotide ribosomal RNA is filed under the name Anotogaster sieboldii. RNAcentral describes it as "16S ribosomal RNA". The stretch from base 556 to 1299 matches the Rfam family "Archaeal large subunit ribosomal RNA", at positions 1423 to 2802 of the family's 2987-position model. The record is from RNAcentral. Lineage: Eukaryota; Metazoa; Arthropoda; Insecta; Odonata; Cordulegastridae.